UUCCUGCGACUCUUACUCAGUAACCCGACUUCUUCGUCAUCGGGUGGUGUAUUCGAUUUGGUAUGUUAAAUUGUAAAAAUCUUAGAUUCUCCACAGUAGUAAUAGUAGAGGUAUCAGUGGUAAUUUUCUGAGUUUCGGGUCUCGCCUAAUUUUUCUGGCAGACCGAAGUAAUUAUGUAAAAUGUAACUAUUAAGAUUAUUUGUGGC
Molecule: long non-coding RNA, 206 nt
Filed under: Ricinus communis (castor bean)
Lineage: Eukaryota; Viridiplantae; Streptophyta; Magnoliopsida; Malpighiales; Euphorbiaceae
Description: long non-coding RNA (RCOM_LNC002426)
Source: RNAcentral